Molecule: long non-coding RNA, 4428 nt
Filed under: Lathyrus oleraceus (garden pea)
Lineage: Eukaryota; Viridiplantae; Streptophyta; Magnoliopsida; Fabales; Fabaceae
Description: Pisum sativum (pea) long non-coding RNA (PSAT_LNC040482)
Source: RNAcentral
CUUCUCAUUUCUUGUAACAAUAUACAAAAUUUAGCAAAACAAGAACACUAAUAACACUAUCAAUCUUUCAUUUCUUGAUAACAUUUACAAAAUUUAGCAAAACAAGAACACUAAUAACACUAUCAUCUUUCUCAUUCUUGAUAACAAUAUACAAAUUUUAGCAAAACAAGAACACUAUAACACUAUCAAUCUUCUCAUUUCUUGAUAACAAUAUACAAAAUUUAGCAAACAAGAACACUAUAACACUAUCAAUCUUUUCAUUUCUUGAUAACAAUAUACAAAAUUUAGCAAAACAAGAACACUAAUAACACUAUCAUUCUUCUCAUUUCUUGAUAACAUAUACAAAAUUUAGCAAAACAAGAACACUAAUAACACUAUCAAUCUUCUCAUUUCUUGAAACAAUAUACAAAAUUUAGCAAACAAGAACACUAAUAAACUAUCAAUCUUCUCAUUUCUUGAUAACAAUAUACAAAAUUAGCAAAACAAGAACACAUAAUACACUAUCAAUCUUCUCAUUUCUUGAUAACAAUAUACAAAUUUAGCAAAACAACAACACUAAUAACACUAUCAAUCUUCUCAUUUCUUGAUAACAAUAUACAAAUUUAGCAAAACAAGAACACUAAUAACACUAUCAAUCUUCUCAUUUCUUGAUAACAAUAUACAAAAUUUAGAAAAACAAGAACACUAACAACAUUAUCAAUCUCCUUAUUUCUUGAUAACAAUAUACAAAAUUUAGCAAAACAAGAACACUAAAAACACUAUCAAUCUUAUCAUUUCUUGAUUACAAUAUACAAAAUUUAGCAAAACAAGAACACUACUAACACUAUCAAUCUUCUCAUUUCUUGAUAACAAUAUACAAAAUUUAGCAAAACAAGAACACUAAUAACACUAUCAAUCUUUUCAUUUCUUCAUAACAAUAUACAGGGAAGUAUGCUAAGAAAAAAGAAGCAAAAAAAUAACUCACGUAACAGAGUCCUAAAGAUGUGCGUACGGAUAUAGGAAGCAGCGGUGUGGCCUUUGAAGCCAUCAUAAAUUCCAACGAACAGUGCGUCAUGGCUUACAUCGUCCUAGUUGUGAUCUUCCAUAUCCUUAUUUUACUAACAGAAGCAAUGGAGAAUUCCCCAUGGCAAUGCCUUUCAUUUUUGGGAGAUUUUGGUAAAGGGUCAGCGUUAAAUGUUUCUUGAUAACAAGAACACUAAUAACACUAUCAAUCUUCUCAUUUCUUGAUAAUAAUAUACAAAAAUUAGCAAAACAAGAACACUUAUCAGACUAUCAACCUUCUCAUUUUUUGAUAACAAUAUACAAAAUUUAGCAAAACAAGAACACUAAUAACACUAUCAAUCUUCUCAUUUCUUGACAACAAUAUACAAAAUUUAGCAAAACAAGAACACUAAUAACACUAUCAAUCUUCUCAUUUCUUGAUAACAAUAUACAAAAUUUAGCAAAACAAGAACACUAAUAACACUAUCAAUCUUCUCAUUUCUUGAUAACAAUAUACAAAAUUUAGCAAAACAAGAACACUAGUAACACUAUCAAUCUUCUCAUUUUUUUGAUAACAAUAUACAAAAUUUAGCAAAACAAGAACACUAAUAACACUAUCAAUCUUCUCAUUUCUUGACAACAAUAUACAAAAUUUAGCGAAACAAGAACACUAAUAACACUAUCAAUAUUCUCAUUUCUUGAUAACAAUAUACAAAAUUAGCAAAACAAGAACACUAAUAACACUAUCAAUCUUCUAAUUUCUAGAUAACAAUAUACAAAAUUUUAGCAAAACAACAACACUAAUAACACUAUCAAUCUUCUCAUUUCUUGAUAACAAUAUACAAAUUUAGCAAAACAAGAACACUAAUAACACUAUCAAUCUUCUUAUUUCUUGAUAACAAUAUACAAAAUUUAGCAAAACAAGAACACUAACAACAUUAUCAAUCUCCUUAUUUCUUGAUAACAAUAUACAAAAUUUAGCAAAACAAGAACACUAAAAACACUAUCAAUCUUCUCAUUUCUUGAUAACAAUAUUAACAAAAUUUAGCAAAACAAGAAACACUAAUAACACUAUCAAUUUUCUCAUUUCUUGAUAACAAUAUACAAAUUUAGCAAAACAAGAACACUAAUAACACUAUCAAUCUUCUCAUUCUUGAUAACAAUAUACAAAAUUUAGCAAACAAGAACACUAAUAACACUAUCAAUCUUCUCAUUCUUGAUAACAAUAUACAAAUUUAGCAAAACAAGAACUACUAACACUAUCAAUCUUCUCAUUUCUUGAUAACAAUAUACAAAAUUUAGCAAAACAAGAACAUAAUAACACUAUCAAUCUUCUCAUUUCUUGAUAACAAUAUACAAAAUUAGCAAAACAAGAACAUAAUAACACUAUCAAUCUUCUAUUUCUGUAACAAUAUACAAAAUUUAGCAAAACAAAACACUAAUAACACUAUCAAUCUUCUCAUUUCUUGAUAACAAUAUACAAAUUUAGCAAAACAAGAACACUAAUAACACUAUCAAUCUUCUCAUUUCUUGAUACAAUACAACAAAUUUAGCAAACAAGAACACUAAAACACAUCAUCUCUUAUUUCUUGAUAACAUUACAAAAUUUAGCAAACAAGAACACUAAUAAACUAUCAAUCUUCUCAUUUCUGAUAACAAUAUACAAAUUUAGCAAAACAAGAACACUAUAACACUAUCAAUCUUCUCAUUUCUUAGAAACAAUAUACAAAAUUUAGCAAAACAAGAACACUAAUAACACUUCAAUCUUCUCAUUCUUGAUAACAAUAUACAAAAUUUAGCAAAACAAGAACCACUAAUAACACUAUCAAUCUUCUCAUUUCUUGAUAACAAUAUACAAAAUUUAGCAAAACAAGAACACUAUAACACUAUCAAUCUUCUCAUUUUUUUGAUAACAAUAUACAAAAUUUAGCACAAACAGAACACUAUCUAAUCUUCUCAUUUCUUGAAACAAUAUACAAAAUUUAGCAAAACAAGAACACUAAAACUAUCAAUUUCUCAUUUCUUGAUAACAAUAUACAAAAUUUAGCAAAACAAAGAAACACUAAUAACACUAUCAAUCUUCUCAUUUUCUGAUAACAAUAUACAAAAUUUAGCAAACAAAACACUAAUAACACUAUCAAUCUUCUCAUUUCUUGAUAACAUAUAACAAAUUUAGCAAAAACAAGAACACUAAUAACACUAUCAAUCUUCUAUUUCUUGAUAACAAUAUACAAAAUUUAGCAAAAAACAAGAACACUAACAACUAUCAAUCUCUUAUUUUCUUGAUAACAAUAUACAAAUUUUAGCAAAACAAGAACACUAAUAACACUAUCAAUCUUCUCAUUUCUUGAUAACAAUAUACAAAAUUUAGCAAAACAAGAACACUAAUAACACUAUCAAUCUUCUCAUUUCUUGUAACAAUUACAAAAUUUAGCAAACAAGAACACUAAUAACACUAUAAUCUUCUCAUUUCUAUAACAAUAUACAGUAGUAUUAAGAAAAAAGACGCAAAAAAAUAACUCACUAAUAACCCUAACGAAUGUGCGUACAUAUAGAAAGCAGCGUUCUUAACAUCUAAAUUCCACGAACAGUGCGUCAUGCUUACAUCGUCCUAGUUGUGAUCUUCAUAUCUUAUUUGACUAAAAAGCAUGGAGAAUUCCCAUGCAAUGCUUCUCAUUUUUGAAUUUUUAAAGGGUCAGCGUUAAAUGUUUCUUGAAACAAGAACACUAAUAACACUAUCAAUCUUCUCAUUUCUUGAUAACAAUAUACAAAAAUUAGCAAAACAAAAAACACUAAUAACACUAUCAACCUUCUCAUUUCUUGAUAACAAUUAUACAAUUUAGCAAACAAGACUAUACACUAUCAAUCUUCUCUUUUUGAUAACAAUAUACAAAUUUAGCAAACAAGAACACUAAUACACUAUCAAUCUUCUCAUUUCUUGAAACAAUAUACAAAAUUUAGCAAACAAGAAAAACUAAUAACAUAUCAAUCUUCUCAUUUCUUGAUAACAUAUACAAAAUUUAGCAAAACAAGAAACAUAAUAAACUAUCAAUCUUCUUUUCUUGAUAACAAUAUACAAAAUUUAGCAAAACAAGAACACUAAUAACACUAUCAAUCUUCUCAUUUCUUGAUAACAAUAUACAAAUUUAGCAAAAACAAGAACACUAAUAACACUAUCAUCUUCUCAUUUCUUGAUAACAAUAUACAAAUUUAGCAAAACAAGAACACUAAAACAUUAUCAAUCUCCUUAUUUCUUUAAACAAUAAUCAAAAUUUAGCAAACCAAGAACACUAAAAACACAAAUCAAUCUUCUCAUUUCUUGAUAACAAUAUACAAAAUUUAGAAAAACAAGAACACUAAUAACACUAUCAAUCUUCUCAUUUCUUGAUAACAAUAUACAAAAUUUAGCAAAACAAGAACACUAAUAACACUAUCAAUCUUCUCUUU